Paramisgurnus dabryanus is the source of this 751-nucleotide long non-coding RNA. RefSeq lists it as uncharacterized. The record is from RefSeq and is a predicted model, not a curated record. NCBI's taxonomy places the organism in Eukaryota, Metazoa, Chordata, Actinopteri, Cypriniformes, Cobitidae.
GUGAGUUAACAAGGUCGUUUACAUGCACGUGAGUGCACGGAUAUCGGUUAAUUAUUCAAAUUACUGAAAAACACGGAGAAAACCGCAACCGCAUCGUCAUGUGUUUUUCUAAGAUGUAUGCAAACAGGGGAAAUAUCGCCAAACCAACAAUUAAUUUGACCAAAACCUCACAAUAUAUCAUCAUUUGUAUGCACAGAUUGGAUGCAUUGUGUGUUGUAAGCUUUUCGUGGCGCUAGAUGUCAGACAGAUGCAAAUGGCAAAUACAUACGAAAGUGUAAAACGUGUAUGGCGAACAUUUGUUUUUCUGUCAUUAUAGAUGCUAGUUUGGUGAAAGUACACACUGAGUGCCUCAAAUCAUUCAGAAGAGAUGCUGUUUUUAGGGCAGUUUAUUAAAGAAGACCUGACAUGGAUGACUUCCAAUGAGAAAAGACUGCUAAUACUUAUAUAAAUUCAUUACAGAAGGACCCUACCAGACUAUAUUUGAAUACGGCAUACCCAUGAAUUCUGGAACUGUUAUUCCUUAACCCAGUUUGGAGGAUCAGAGCUUGUCAACUAGUUAUAAAUAUGCUGAGGUGAUGUAUUGCAAAAUAGCCAACAUACAACAAUAUGGAUGACCCUCUGUCUGGUCAACAGGAGUUUAAAUAUGGACGGGACAGUUAUGUGGCAGCUCUUCCCUGGCUCAUUCACCUCUUGCCUUUCAUUUGUGAAAGGAAGAAAGAAGAAAGAGGGUCAAUGUGCAACUGAAGCUACG